RNAcentral lists this ribosomal RNA (253 nucleotides) under uncultured bacterium. RNAcentral describes it as "partial 16S ribosomal RNA". It matches the Rfam family "Bacterial small subunit ribosomal RNA", at positions 524 to 776 of the family's 1533-position model. The record is from RNAcentral.
GACGGAGGGGGCUAGCGUUGUUCGGAAUUACUGGGCGUAAAGAGCACGUAGGCGGCGGUGCAAGUUGGGGGUGAAAUCCUGGAGCUCAACUCCAGAACUGCCUCCAAAACUGGCGAUCUUGAGUUCGGGAGAGGUGAGUGGAACUGCGAGUGUAGAGGUGAAAUUCGUAGAUAUUCGCAAGAACACCAGUGGCGAAGGCGGCUCACUGGCCCGAUACUGACGCUGAGGUGCGAAAGCGUGGGGAGCAAACAGG